UACGUAGGAGGCAAGCGUUGUCCGGAAUUACUGGGCGUAAAGCGCGUGUAGGUGGUGGGACAAGUCUGCUGUGAAAGCGCCUGGCUUAACCGGGCGAGGUCGGCGGAAACUGGUCGACUCGAGGACGGUAGAGGGGGGUGGAAUUCCCAGUGUAGUGGUGAAAUGCGUAGAGAUCGGGAGGAACACCUGUGGCGAAGGCGGCCCCCUGGGCCGGCCCUGACACUGAGACGCGAAGGCGUGGGGAGCGAACAGG
This 253-nucleotide ribosomal RNA is filed under the name uncultured bacterium. RNAcentral's name for it is "partial 16S ribosomal RNA". It matches the Rfam family "Bacterial small subunit ribosomal RNA", at positions 524 to 776 of the family's 1533-position model. The record is from RNAcentral.